GGAAAAGAGCACUACUGAUGCAGAAAUCUCAAGUCACAUCCCUUUUUGGGGCAGAUUCACUUUGGUCGAGAGGGUACACUGGUGCUAAAGUUAAAAUGGCUAUUUUUGACACAGGUAUACGGUCAGAUCACCCUCAUUUCCGCAAUAUUAAGGAACGCACAAAUUGGACCAAUGAAGAUACACUGAAUGACAAUCUAGGACAUGGGA
This 207-nucleotide unclassified non-coding RNA is filed under the name Hevea brasiliensis (rubber tree). Lineage: Eukaryota; Viridiplantae; Streptophyta; Magnoliopsida; Malpighiales; Euphorbiaceae. The record is from RNAcentral.